Tupaia belangeri chinensis (Chinese tree shrew) is the source of this 559-nucleotide long non-coding RNA. RefSeq lists it as uncharacterized. The record is from RefSeq and is a predicted model, not a curated record. NCBI's taxonomy places the organism in Eukaryota, Metazoa, Chordata, Mammalia, Scandentia, Tupaiidae. The transcript is spliced from 2 exons.
CGCCUACAAGACGGAAGGACCUGGAAGUAUGCGAUGAAGAAGCCAGGCAGAAGCAAUGGAUGCAGGUGGUGGCACGGAGCUCCGGUCACCUCACUCUGCUCCUGACAUGGCUGUUCACUCUCACCAAGGAACAAGCCAGUCAGGAAACCGCACAGCAGCCAUGGCUUUUAAAGAUACUGGAAAAACACCCAAGAAGCCAGAGGUAGCCAUUCACCGAUUUAGAAUCACUUUAACCAGCCGCAGCAUAAAGUCCUUGGAGAAAGUGUGUGCUGACUGGUUCGGAGGUGCCGAGGACAAGAAUCUCAAGGUGAAAGGCCCAGUUCGGAAGCCUGCCCAGAGUCUGAGAAUCACUACAAGAAAAACACCUUGUGGGGAAGGCUUUAGGGCUUGGGAUGGUUUCCAGAUGAGAAUCCACAAGCGACUCAUUGAUUUGCACACUCCUUCUGAGACUGUUGGACAGACUACUUCCAUCAGUAUUGAGCCGGGAGUUGAGGUUCAAGUCACCAUUGCAGAUGCCUAAGUCAACUAUUUUAAUAAAUUGAUUAUCAUCUCUUAAAAA